AAGGUGGCCUACGCUACUGCCAUGGACUGGUUCAUCGCAGUCUGCUAUGCAUUU
This is a non-coding RNA of Poecilia formosa (Amazon molly), 54 nucleotides long. Lineage: Eukaryota; Metazoa; Chordata; Actinopteri; Cyprinodontiformes; Poeciliidae. The record is from Rfam.